This 2717-nucleotide long non-coding RNA is filed under the name Columba livia (rock pigeon). Its description in RNAcentral is "partial uncharacterized LOC102092662, transcript variant X4". The record is from RNAcentral. Lineage: Eukaryota; Metazoa; Chordata; Aves; Columbiformes; Columbidae.
GGCCAGCCCGGGGAGGAAGAUGGAGGAGCCGCGGCCGGGCGGGCACCGCGGCCGUGCCAGGAGCGCGGCGGAGGGGCUGCUCUUGAUGGGUGGAAAACACCGCUUCUCGCUCUCCUCACGGCAUGGAAAAUACCGAAACACGCUUUAGGAGAAAAAAAUAACACAGCAACAACCCCCAAACAGCUGAGGAUUGAUGUAUCUUCAGGGAAGAAGCCGUCGCCGCUCGCCUGGCUCCUCACGACAACCUGCCCGCCAUUUGCUUAAUUAAAAGCAUAUACUUGAUGUGAUCAGAUGUGGUAAUACCGUAAAAAAAAAAACCCAAACCAAACCAAAAUACCCCGUAACAUCCAAACGCUCGUUGUUGGAGGCUGCAGCCAAGCUCGGCUGCUUAUUCCAGAAGUUUCUACAGGGGAGGGAGCACCCACUGCGGAGCCUUUGCCGCAGCGCCGGGAGGAGAUGCCGAGGAUGCGCCACCUCUCCCCUUCCCAAGCCUCCCCCCUUCGCUCGAUUUUCCCCAUCCUUGGGAAAAAAACGCUGCUGGGAGGUGUGUUAAGGGUGUUUUUUAUUAAAAAAUCUUCCUCCUUCCCCCUCCCCGCUUUGCUAAAUGAAUUAAAAGCAGCGCUGUCUCCCGAUGGAGAUGGAUGAGGCUGCUCGCUCGCACGCUCCCCUGCAGCCUCCGGCUGCCCCAGCGAGGGGACCGCGGCCACAAGUGACCUUCCCCAGGUGCCCCGACACGCUGCUGCUUCUUGGGAUUCAUUUUAAAUAGGCUUAUUAUUUUUUAUCUCCCCCCUCCCCUUAAAGAACAGUUCGCUCUUUCAGUGAUUCUUUUUUCUUGACGCUUCUUCAUGAUCCUUUUUUUUUGUGUGUGUGUUUUGAAUUGCAUCUUAAAACUGCCCAGCUGGAGACAGGUCUCGAUUAGAGCUGGAACAAUAGUUCCAUUUUAUUAAUAACGGGAAGGAUUUACAAUCCUCCAGCACCUUCCUUGGAAGGCUUUCAGGAAUCAUUUGCAAACACGCACACAUUUAAGAUCCCGCAGCCAAGGGCUGGGAGGUGGGUAAGUAUGUGAAUGGUGCCACCGCCAAAAAUCGCGUCGGUGGCCAAUCUGCCUUUCCGAGUGCUGAAAAAAAGACAGAUUGGGUGGGUUCUAGGGCUGUGACCUCAAUCUGUCCCGUGUUCUCUGUAGAUGCCGAUUGUUCUGCUGCAUCCUGAGAACUGGGCUGUACAGAGGACCGCGCCGCCUUGCCGGAGCGGAGCUGUGGACUCGCUUGCUGCUCAGUAAACAUCUGCUUAUAGAUCUUUAUUUCUUUGAUUAUCUUUUUCUAAUUCAUUACCUUUUUGCAGUCCCCAAGCGACCUCCUUUAGUGCUGGCUCCGCUGUGGUUUGACCGCAGCUUCGCGUUAAAGCGCUAAUGUGUCUAAUGACCUUGCUUGGGGACCGGGCCCACCGGGCUGCUGCGGAUGCUCCGUUUCCAUUACAGAACCCCACACGCCGUGUAUUCCCAUUUUUCCAACGCAUCCUUCCCUCGCCUGGGAAUGUUGCAAUAUUAUAGUGUCUUCUGCCUUAUUUUUUGUCCUUUUUCCCCCCCUCUUUCCUAGGGAUACACAGGAUUGUGUAACCCACGGCAGAUGUAACCAUCUCAGAGCUGUCUGGGCAGUCGGAUCUGGCCUUGCUGAGACACGGGUUGUGUAAGUGGCGUGUUGUACGCAGGCCACAAAACCCCACAACAUUUCAGUGGUUACGUCUGUCUGGGAGAGCGUGAGUAGGUCCCAGGGCUUCCCCUUCCCACCGCUUUGCCGGUUCACAAAACGAGAGGCUGAUGCUUCUGGAAAAAGCUCUGCCUUGUGGCCUUUAAAAAAAAAAAACCUGCUGUGGAUUAGUCAUCCUUGUUUUUAAAGGAAGCUGCGUUUGCCAGCCCUGGCCGUGUAACGCGUGUGUGUUAUCAGCCAUUGGGUUUAUUUGCUGCGCUGGAAAUGUGGAGAACGCACCAAACGCACGUGGGGACAGACAAACGUAUUCUGGGGUCACUUCAACUCUGGAGGAGAAGCCCUGGGAUGUGUUGGUUUGGAGAUGCUCCUUGUGCUCACCGGAGGUACCAAGAAGCUGCUUGUUGGGGAUGUUUCCACGUUUUUGAGGUUGGCAACACCCCGUGGGACUCGGAAUUAACUUUUCUUUGGUAGUCGAGGACAAACGAGUGAGAAUCACCUUGGGAGCGCUGAACUUUUACCCCCCUCUCCUUCGGACUGAAGAGCUUCUAGAACUACAUCGGUGAGGCUUCCAAGUUAAACAAAACCUGAAUUCCCGCUGCCAAAAAGCAAGCGAGCGAUAGAAACCUCCACAUCUCCUCCGUGAGGGGGGACACCGCGGUCUCCCGAGAUUAUUCUGGUAUCCCCAAGAGUUAAAAAUGCUGCAUCGUGAGACCUGCGGAGGUCAAACGAAAGCCAGAGCUCACCGAGAAACUCUUCUCCGUAUCGCUCAAGGGGUUUUUGAGCAUAGCAGGUCUCCACGCACCAUUAUUUUUGUGUCUUUGUCAGGACCAAAGGAGCGAUAAUAGUGUGUUCAGUCUGCUUUGUUUAAAACACCGUCGAGUUGCUUUGCUAUCAAAAUGGUGUCUGGUGAAAGAAAAGCUCUGGUGGUGGCUGGCUCGGUGGUUAUUUUGUGCCAACCGAUCCCUCGUGGCUUUGGGCUGUGGGUUCGUGUUAAACCCUUGUCCUCCAGCG